UUUUUUUUUAAGAUGGAGUCUUUCUCUGUUGCCCAGGCUGGAGUGCACAGGACAGACCCCUGCAACAAAGAAUUCUGCCGCCCAAAAUAUCAAUAGUGCAAUCUCCGCUCACUGCAACCUCUGCCUCCUGGGUUCAAGUGAUUCUCCUGCCUCAACCUCCCCAGUAGCUGGGAUUACAGGCACCUGAGACGUCACCAUCUCAAAUAUGGUUGUUCAGCCUCAAAGCUGAGCAAACACAGUCUUUAGUGCCGGGCUAAUUUUUGUGUUUUUAGUAGAGACGGGGUUUCACCAUGUUGGCCUGGCUGGUCUCGAACUCUGACCUCAAGUGAUCUGCCUGCUUUGGCCUCCCAAAGCACUAGGAUUACAUGUGUGAGCCAACAUGCCCGGCCCCCAACCUUAAUUAGAAAGUAGAAGUAAAGUGAAAUGAACGUAGUUUCUAUCUUAUUUGUCAUGUGUAAACCAAGGUUUUUCCUGGGAGCAGAGGAGUGCAUGAAUUCAGAGUUACUGUGGAAGAGGUGGCCAUCUCCUUUCCAUACUAUAUAGUUGUCACUGGGGAGGAGCUGCCCAGCCAGGGAAUCCAUUUCUUCGUCCCUUUCUUACAUUGAGCAGAGACACAACAAUUCCUCACCAGGGGAAUGUGAGUGAAAGUGCAGUGUACCUCUUCCAGGCCAACACUCUUCUAUAUCCCUUUCGUCUUUCACCAACCUUAGGGAGUGAAACUUCCGUGCAUGGCAGAGCCUCAUGACAGAAGGAGCCUGGCUCCUUGAAAGACCGGGUGGAGAGAGCUGCUCACAGGUUGGAGCACUGCCCAAGAUGUUACAUGAGCAAGAAAUAAACUUCCGUGGUGUUUAGUCACUGCAUUUGGGUCUAUUUGUUACUGCACCUUAGCCUAUGCUAACAAUUAUAGAGUCUGCCUUUGCUAACUCACACCUAAAAGGUCAGAUGUCUAUUUUGUUGCCAACACUAAAGACUGUGCUUGCUCAGCUUUGAGGCUGAACAACCAUAUUUGAGAUGGUGAUGUCUCAAGUGAUGUGUGUGUAUGUGGAGCAGGGGGAGUGUGAGGUGCUGGCUUGAUCCGCAUUCCCGUGGCUUGCAGUAAGAUUCCCAGAUGGCAGCUGCCCUCUGCACUUUUACCCUUCCUUUCCACUCACCACCCAUCACUUCCCCCACUGUUCCCUUCAUCCCCCUGUGUCCCAUCGAUGAGGAAGCCUCCCCAUGAAAAGCUGGAGGAGCUCUGCCUUGGGGUUUCUGCUAAGUCACCAGGUUGAGAACUUGCCGCAACUCCUUGGACAGUACGAAUGCCCAUUGCUUCUCUUUUGGUGGUCUGGGGCUUAACACUCCAGGCUAUCACUGCAUCAUCUGGUCCAAUUGACUGCAUCUAAAUAGUAGAAUUCUUUCUGUGCUCCUGAAAACAAGAGGGCUGCUUGGCGUGUGUGUGUGUGUGUGUAUGCGUGCACACACGUGUGCAUGCUGUAGGCCUGAUAUUAGAUACAGACAAGUAAAAUGUUAUGCUUUUUUUUUUUUUUUUUUUUUUUUUUAGAUAGAGUUUCACUCUUGUCUCCCAGGCUGGAGUGCAAUGGCGUAAUCUUGGCUCACUGCAACCUCUGCCUGCUGGGUUCAAAUGAUUCUCCUGCCUCAGCCUCCCAAGUAGCUGGAAUUACAGGUACGUGCUACAACAUCUGACUAAUUUUUGUAUUUUUAGUAGAGAUGGGGUUUCACCAUGUCAGCCAGGCUGGUCUCGAACUCCUGACCUCAGGUGAUCUGCCAGCCUCAGCCUCCCAAAGUGUUGGAAUUACAGGCGUGAGCCACUGAAUCCGGCCAAUGUUAUGCAUUUAAGUGUGGGGAGCAGAAGACUGGAUAUGCAAGAGCAUACAUCUGGAUACCUUUUACCUCUUGGCUUGUGGGGAAAAUGACCUGCAGGAUUUUACAUGGAGCUUCCUGUGUGCAUGCUGGUGACUGUUGGCAACAAGGUGUCAGGAAGAAAGACAUUGCUUUCCAAACUCCUUUUCCCAAAUGAUCCUUUCUUACCCAGUCUGCCUUACCUGCUUCUGUACUGUUCAACAGAGGAGGGGGAACAGGGAAAAGCAGGGGCAGUUGUGAAAAAUAGAAGGGAAACUUGAGUGUGCCUUUUUCUUCUCCUUCUCUUUCUCCACCCUCAGUCAUCAUUAACAGAAAAAUAUUUUUAAAAGAUCCCUUGAUGGCAUCCCCAAAUGUUAAGUCUGACAUUUUCUUAGCUGAUGGCCUCCUUUGUGAAGGUACUUUGUGUCCGCCCAGCAUGCCUGCUGGAUCCCUGGUUUGCCGCAGUUGCUGAGGUAAAUACUCUUUCCAUUAAGCACCACAGCCCAAGAGUGGCCUAAAGCUCAAAUAAAUGACCAAGAAGCAACUUAAACAUUCCCUGGGGCGAUUUUAACCUAUGCAAUGGCUUUUUGAAAAAAUUGCCUAUUUUUUCAUGUUUUGGCCGGGGGGGUGUCUCUUAUUCCCUUCUUUUUUAUUUUCCUUUCAGCUGAGUACACCUUCUCUUUCAUUUAUUCAUGCACUGCAUGAAGGAUGGAAGCAGGAUGAAUAAAUCACAGAGCAUUGCCCCUCUCCCCACUCAGGGUCUGUGAAGAGAGCUGGAGCAGAAUACAGUCCAGGCAUUAUGUCAACUUUCAGGGGACCUGGGGCAGGUGGCCGAUUCUCACAGAGACCCCACUUCCCUUUCCUGUGAAAAAUACCACAGCCCAACAGCCACUGGAGAACAGUGUUCUUCUGGAAGCUUCCUCUGGGCAGGAGGAGUCAAAGAUCCUGGUCCUCAGGGACACUUGAGAUGGGUGUGCCCAAAGCUGUGCAGGAUGGUUUGGUUUGUUUUGUUUUUCUUUGCCUCAGGAAGAAUGUGUUCACAAACCUCAGGACAAAUCGUUUAAAAAAGUGUCCUGACAGUUGUCAUGCUUCAUCACUUGAUUUAGAGGCAAUAGGACAGCCUUAUUUUCUUCUAAUCUCUGGUGGUUGAGGAGUCUGGUUGGCCUGGCAGAAGGCUGAGAUUGGCUGAGGGAGUCAUGAGCGAGCAGGGGCCUCUGGUGCCUGAAGCGCCCCUCAGGAAGAGCGGGUCUCACCGGAAGGCCACACUCAUCUCCUUCCUGGUUACCCAGUGUGGGGAUUUGCUACUUUGCUGAGUGUGUUUUGUCUACAUUCAUGGUGCUCCAGAACUGUGUCUGUGUUUCUCACAUUCUCUUUCGUGUCUGCCAGAGCAACAUUCUCAGCAAACCAUCUGAAUGCAACUCCUGUGAUCACAAAAGUCAAUCACUGAUGGAAAUGAAGACCACGACCCUGAUUCCUCAGGCACAGGUUUUCAUCUGUCACUAUGUGCUAAAAGCAAACCAGCAAGUGAGGGUGUCACUGUCAACUGCUCCUUGUCGUGAGAUUCCCACCUUUCCCUCAAGACAUCUCAGAUAUCAUAUGUAACCUUGACCCUGUGUCCCACAGCAACAGCGGUCAUUGAGUGUAAAGCCUUUUCCUUGAGGAUUGUGGUAGACAGAAUGCCCCCCAAAGGUGACUAUGCUUGAAUCCAUGGAAACUGAACAUGUCACCUUCUAUGGCAAAAGGGACUUUGCAGACGUGAUUAAGGUUAAAGACCUUAAAUUAGAGGGAGUACCCUGGACUAUCCAGGUGUCUAAUCUAAUCCCAUGAGACUUCAAAUGCAGAGAGCUUUCUCUGGCUGGAGUCAAAGAGAUGUGACAAAAGAGGUCGUCGGAGAGAUUGGAAGUGUGAGAAAGACCCGACCUACUGUUUCUGGGGAGCCCACCUGGAAAGCACGAGAAGGGACACAGGCAACCUUUGGGAACAAAGACUGCCAGCCACAAGGAAAAGACAGCAGUCCUCUAGCCACAAGAAACCGAAUUCAGCCAGCAACCUGGACAAGCUAGAAGAGCAUUCUUCCCCAGAACCUUUAGGAGGAAGUGAGGCCUUGCAGAUACCCUGAUUUUGGCUUUUGAGACACUAAACAGAGGAUCCAACUGAGUUCAACUGGCCCAGAAACUGAGAUAUGUUUGGACUGUUUUAAGUUGCUACGUUUGUGGUAAUUUAUUUUGGUGGCAACUGAAAAUGAAUGUAAUUGUAUAUUAGAAAAAUUGAAGGUAGAAGCUCUAAUACUUUCUCCCCACACCCCAGUGGUUCAUCAUGUGCAGCACUCAGGGUGUGGAAAUUCCAUUUUGAAGACACCGUCUUCCAGGAUUCUAACCCCCACCUGGGAAAGGUCCUGGAGAGAACUUCUAGCAUGUAUUUCUGAGCCAUUCACAUUUAACCCAGAGAGAGAAGGUGUCCUGCCCAAACGCAAAGCAGCAUGGCGGUAGUUCUGGACAUAACCUUAACAAUUGCCAGGAACUCUCUGGAUGUCCAUCCAUCAGCCCUAUCUAGUCUUUUUGUCUGCAUGGCAUUGUGGGGGAUGUGGCGAUGAGGGCCAGGAUCGCAGAAGUCAGAGUACCCGUGGCUGGAGCUUCCAUUUUAAAUGAAGUGUUCUUGCUUAUGGCUUGAUGGUAUCCUUUCAGAUUUUGCAUCUGGCUGUACUCCAGAUGUUUAUAUAGAAACUUCACAGUAGACAUGAUGGUGGCGUAGGUUUGCAGGAAGGAUCCUUUCCUACUUACAGAGUGACCCAAUGUGGCCGAUCCCUUCAAUAUUUACAACAGCUGGGUGAGUGGAGGCAUGAUCAACUCCAUUUACCCGUCAAAUAAAUGAAAUUUCAGAGCGGUUACACAAUCUGCUUGAGGUAACAAGGCCAGCAAGCCACAGAGCCAACAUACCCCUGGUGCCUGGCUCCACAGGAGUCUGGGAAGAGGGAGAGGAAGAUGGGGACAGGAUGUAUCACCAGGAUGCUAGGGGAAGAGAGAAUAUUGACGUGUGGGGCAGCCUGCAUCCCCAAAUCAGGAGCACUGGGUGCUGCUGUGUUACAGUGAGUGUAGGAGCAUGCCGUUCUGGGCUUCACUCUGCCCAAAUAUGUCUUGCUCAUUUUCACCGCCAUAUGGCUGCUCGUCCCGGUCUGUUUGAGGUUCCUUCCUGUUCCCUCUCUGCCUCUAAGUCCUUCAAAAAGCCAACUGGAAGUGCCUCUUCCAGGCUUUCCUUAGCCUUUCUUUAUUCCCUUGAACUUCUAUUAUGUUAAUUGUUCAAAAGAUUAGUUCUGACACUUACCCUAUGCUGCUUUGUAUUACUAUUGGAAAACAACAGUAGCUCUCUCAACCCAUUGGGUGGAUGGUACAUGCCAUGCUUUAUACAUUCCCGUGGCCCUGCUGUACCUGGCACACACAAAAGGGGAUUAAUAAAUAUGCAUAUGUUGAAUGAAAGAAUGGAG
RNAcentral lists this long non-coding RNA (5320 nucleotides) under Homo sapiens (human). RNAcentral's name for it is "HSALNT0032187". The record is from RNAcentral. Lineage: Eukaryota; Metazoa; Chordata; Mammalia; Primates; Hominidae.